UGGGACUUGUAACCGUCACUUCUGUCUUGAGAGGUUAAAAGAUAGAACAGUCUAGCCAAGUGUCAUGUCUCUUAUUCUUGAUCAGCUAUAGCUCUGGGGUUUUUGCAGAUUUUCAAAUAAAACUCAGAGAUUCCUUGUAUGACUCUCUCAUAUCUCUCUUUUGUGGUAUUUCUGGAUCCUUACCAAGGCAUUGAUGGUAUAUGCCUUCUCUCAAGAUAUGUGGUAUUUAUGGUAUAAGGCAUAGUGACAUUGCCUUCUCUCUCAUCCUACUCUAAUAAGGCUUGAUAUCUGGAGUUCAUAGGUGGGAGACAGCUAAUACAUACUUACAAGACAUUUAUUGCAUAGUCAAACCAUGGAUCCAGAGAAACAAGUCAAUAAGUCAAAUCAAGAUGUGCAUGUGUGGCGAAUGAAUGGUGUAUGGUGAUGAUGGUGAUAACAAUGGUGAAAGUCUAAUUCUACUUUUGCUCUUUUGAGGGGAUACAUACCUUUCUUGCACUUUGAAGCUUUUUGGGGAGAAUGAGAUGCUCUAUAUUUUCUUUUUCUUUCCUCUCAGGUGGGUAUCUUGUACCCCUAAUUCUACUGUCGGACACUUGUCCAUUUUUACCUCCUGUCACAUAUGCUACAAAGAAAGAUUGGUUAUCAGAAAACCUGACCUCAGCAAUGUUCCAGCUUAAACGGGACUGCAAACACAAAAAAAUAACAAUUAUGGAUAAAACUCACUAUGAAAGGAAUAGGGCUAAGAUUUAGGUAUUUAUUUGUCCAUGAUCCCCAACUCUCUGUGAAGAGUGCCUACAUCCACAGUUUGGUGUCUACAGAAUGAAAUGCUUUAUUGUUUACUCUUUUAUGACAAUCAGUGUCUUGUGAAAUACAGAAAAUAGUAACAGUUGUUGGAUAUUUCAAACGCAAACAGAAAAAUCCGCAAGCACACAGAUACCGAUGUAGCUUUCACCCGGGAGUAUUCCAGAGUAUCGAUUUUUCACAGGGAACGUGAGUGUACUAAUUAAGAUUCAAGAUCGCCCAAGGAUAACUAUAUAAUUAUUUUUUUGGUGGGAAGAGAGGAAGUUUCGUGAGAGUUCUCUAGUUGAUCUAAGAAUCAAGAAUUACUUCAAAGAUUAUUUUUUCGAGACAUCAGAACACUAACCACAGAAAGAGAUGGGAAGGGAGCUAGGAAGCUCUGACUACGGUCCGACAAACACCGAUCCGAACGAGGUGGAAUACGUCGACCGUUAGGGCUGUCACUACCCUAGGGCUACCACAACAAUCCGCAGAAUUGGGGUGCAAUUCCACGUAAUUGCAAGACUAAACACCACGUCUAAUCUAUUAAUUACUACUCUAGCGUUAUAAAGACUAGAGCACUUGAUGCAAGCGGGAAUCCAAUAAAUAACUUUGUAAAUAAAAGUAAUUAAAGAACUCAGGAAUUAUGAAUUGAAGCACUUGGAGAACGAUGAAGAACGAACCAGUUGCUGCAAAAGUACAAUGUUGAGGAAGAUCCGACAGACCCGGCUCCUCCUCUACUCUCCUCUUCUCUCUCCCUAUUUUCUAGAUUACAACUAGAACUAACUAGAACUAGAACUAGAGGAACUAGAGCUAGAACUAGAUGAACUAGAGGGAUCCUCUCUACUUGGAUGAAUAAUUGAAACCCUAGCUUUGAUUCUGUAGAAGAGGUAUGCUCUCCAGGGGCCAAGGGGCCUUGCUUAUAUAGUCUUUUCAGAUGAAUCUGGGCCGUCGGAUCAAACCGACAUCAAUCGCACGGUUUUCCUUGAUCCUUUAGGUCGGUGGAGCGUGAUCCGCGAGACGGGUCUGAGUUGGACACUAUAGGAGGGCGGGCGCCCUGGUCCUUAGGGCGGGCACCCUGGGCCAGGCCUCGUUCGGCCUCCGCUUCGUUCCCGUAGCUUCUGGAGUCUUCAAGAUGAUAGAAAAUUGCGCGGCACGUUAAUAUCUCUAUGUAAACCCGACGUGUGGGCCUUUCCUCCGUAUUUCCUGAUAACCCCCUACAGAAAUAGACAAACACCAAAACUCGUGGAAUUCUGUCAGAUAAAACCCUAACUCUAGGUGUUGGUUGCAUUUGGAUGCUUUUCCAUGAUUAGUUGAUGGUUAAAUGUGAGCAUUAAGGACCGUAAACAAGCUCCCCCAAGCUUAACCUUUGCUCGUCCCUGAGCAAAGAUAAACUCAAGAGUUUCUGCAAUGGUUUCAUACCUUAAAGAUACACAUGCAUUCAAACAAGAUCUCAUUUCUGGGUUAGGGUAAACUGUUAAGAUUUAAACUUACUCAUUUUACCUUUCACCAUGGGACUUGUAACUGUCACUUCUAUCUUGAGUAGUUAAAAGAUAGAACGGUCUAGUCAAGUGCAAUGUCUCUUAUUCUUGAUCAGCUAUAGCUCUGGAGUUUUUGCAGAUUUUCAAAUAAAACUUAGAGAUUCCUUGUAUGACUCUCUCUAGUCUCUCUUUUGUGGUAUUUCUGGAUCCUUACCAAGGUAGUAAUGGUGUAUGCCUUCUCUCAAAGUAUGUGGUAUUUUUAGUAUGAGGCAUAGUGCCAUUACCUUCUCUCUCACCCUACUCUAAUAAGGUUUUGAUAUCUGGAGCUCAUAGGUGGGAGACAGCUAAUACAUACUUACGAGACAUUUAUUGCAUAGUCAAACCAUGGAUCCAGAAGAACAAGUCAAUAAGUCAAAUCAAGGUGUGCAUGUGUGGCGAAUGAAUGGUGUAUGGUGAUGAUGGUGAUAACAAUGGUGAAAGUCUAAUUCUACUUGUGCUCUUUUGAGGGGAUACAUACCUUUCUUGCUCUUUUGAAACUUUUUGAGGAGAAUGAGAUGCUCUAUAUUUUCUUUUUCUUUUCUCUCAGGUGGGUAUCUUGUACCCCUAAUUCUACUGUCGGACACUUGUCCAUUUUUACCUCUCGUCUCACUUUUUCUUUCUUUCGAGGUUCCGGGCACUUGCCCCUUUUUAUUUCCUCGUUUAUAUAUAUAUUUUUUCUUCUCUUUUCUUUUUUUUCAGAGCACUCAUCUCUUGAGAUAAUAUAGCAAGUGGUAGUAACCAAAAUAUUUGGAGCAUUUAUUUCACAGGGAAUAACAGGGAUAGGAAAAUGUUUUUGACUAUUCUCUCCCGGAUUAGGAGUAUAAUAUUUUUGGGUGAUUCUGGAGAUGGAAAUGGAUGGAUAUAUGUGGAUGGUACUUCCGGAGUAGAAGUAGCAUAUAUGAGUGAACGUGCAAGUGAAUCUUGAUUGAACCACAUGACAAGCUCCUAAGGGUCUACACAGCUUGACCACACUCAAUGCUCAUAAGCAGUAAAAAGUAAAUGUGUGGCUCGAAGUCUAGCAAGCAUGUAUAUAUGGCUGUGGUAGGAAUUUAAACUCUCAUCAUACAGGAACUCAUCAUGCAACAUUUUAAAGAUUUCCAAAGAUAAAAUUCUCCAGAAUUCUAGCAUCUCUAGAAACAGAUAAACAGCAGCUCAACCUUCCCAUAUCGUAUCCGUUAACAACUUAGACUUCAGAUCAAGUUUUCAUCACACAAGUUUAGAUCUAGAGCAAGCUUUAAAUUAUAGCAGUUAUGUCUAAACUUGAGAGGGAACUUCAAAAUUGCAAAUUAGGCAGAACAACUAUUCAUCAUUUCCAUGCUUGAGUUUUAUUUUUAAGAUUCAGAUUAGCAUAGCCACUUUAUUUAUUUAUUAAACAUACUAAGCAAAAGAUAUAUAUAUAAGCACAAAAUCUUUAUUUAGUUUUUCAUAGUUUAUGUAUUUUAAUAUUCUAACAUAAUAUAAGUAUAAAGAUAGGUAGAAAUACUUAGCGAGAAUAAUGUGGGUGCUUUCCCCCAAGUUGAAUUUUGACGUAAUUUCUCUUGAUGUAGCUAGCAGGUGGCAGAGGUGUAUUUGAAAGUCAGCAGCAAUCUGACAGCGAUUAGAAUGUCCUCCGUCUGCUAGUCUUCUUGAUUCUUAAAUUCUGUGGAUCUCAAAUAGACAACAAAGCUUGUGGAACUAAUUAAGUGUUAGCAUAAAUAUCUAGCCUUCAUUAUUUGAGCUUCCUUAAUGAAUGUUAUUUAUUUAGCAGGAUCAUAUACUUAUUAUUAUAUAUAUUUAUUUUUAUAUAUAUAUUUUUAUUGUAAGAUGAAAACUUAUUUAUUUUAUUUUUAUGCCACCACAGUGAAUGUACUUAUGGGUUUUAUGCCAUGAGCAUACUCACAUGGGGCUUACUAUUUUUUAACAUUUUUAUUUUCUUUUCAAGAUAGCAUGAACCUGAUUAACUGAGCAAAUUAUAAUUGAAUAAGUGAAAGGAAAGGGUAACUACCAAGUUUACCUCUUGGCAAGGCGUUCGGUAUUUUUAUGUCCUCCGAACGGGACUCUCUGUUUUCUCAGUCGUCCUGGGAUUCGCUAGGUGGCGUAGUCGGUGAUUCCGGCGGCGCCUCUCUUCGUGUAUAACUAUCUUCUCCCUCCACACCUGACUCGGUGCUACGGUCUCCUCAGGACAGUUCUGUUCAAGCUGUAUGUCUUCAGUCCUUAUCACUUUUCCUUCGUAGUCUACCCAUCCGUUCUUGAUGAUUUGCCUCCUCUUGGUUGCGGUUGCGUCGUCUUCUUGUCCUAACCUGCUUAGAGUCUUCAACUAUAUAGUUAUGGUCAGUAAAAUAGCUGCGUACCUUCUCAGAGGGGAAGUACAUGUGGACUUCUCCGGUUCCAAUGUAGAUGAUUGCUUUGAUAGUGUUGAGGAACGGUCUUCCAAGGAUGGUGGGUGGAUCAUAUUCGUCUUCUCCCAUGUCAAUGACCUGAAAAUCAUCUGGAACUGAAUAUAUUGGUUGUAGAGGCAUGGUUCCAUGCAGGAGCUGAUAAGUGACUGCGGCCAUUAUGUUGUCGUCAGAUCCGGUGUCGUAGAGUGUCUUCUGAAAAGAGUAUCCAUUGAUUGCGCACUCGAUGCUUGGAACACCAGGGUCGUCCUUCU
RNAcentral lists this long non-coding RNA (4923 nucleotides) under Sorghum bicolor (sorghum). RNAcentral describes it as "long non-coding RNA (SBIC_LNC017851)". The record is from RNAcentral. Lineage: Eukaryota; Viridiplantae; Streptophyta; Magnoliopsida; Poales; Poaceae.